This is a non-coding RNA of Lentithecium fluviatile CBS 122367, 84 nucleotides long. The record is from the annotation of a GenBank genome assembly. Lineage: Eukaryota; Fungi; Ascomycota; Dothideomycetes; Pleosporales; Lentitheciaceae.
GCAUCGGUGGUUUAGUGGUAAAAUUAGCCGUUGCCAAUGAAAAAAACAAUCGGCUAGCCCCGGGUUCGAUUCCCGGCCGAUGCA